This is a long non-coding RNA of Lactuca sativa (garden lettuce), 1281 nucleotides long. RefSeq lists it as uncharacterized. The record is from RefSeq and is a predicted model, not a curated record. NCBI's taxonomy places the organism in Eukaryota, Viridiplantae, Streptophyta, Magnoliopsida, Asterales, Asteraceae.
UGCUCUCUUUUCCCGCUUUUAAGCUUACCCCAUAAAAUUGUGUCGCCACAUUGCAAUCUGAUCUCUCACCUCCUUCUCUUUACACACACUCUCUCUGAUAUCUCUCAUCUCGUUCUCUUCCCCCCUUUCUCUCUAUUUUUGACCUAGCGACCCUCACUGCCACACUACAACCCACCAUUAAAGGCGGUUUGGUGCAUCAGUUGAUCUGUAACCCUCCGCCACCAUCCAGUCAAUGUCCGGCCAGUGAGUCCGUUCUCCAGUCUCUUCUUAUGUGACUUCGUCUUUCUGCAUGUAACCGCCUCGACGCCUCUGUCCGCCAACGCCCUUGUCGCCUCCCUCUGCAUAUUGAUCUUGUGGUUUUUGUUUUCAAUUUUGACCAAUAUCUCCUUCACAUUGAACUGCAAUCAUCGCCUCUAAGAAUUGUCGGACCUCAUGGAAGUUGAUGCCGUGUAAGUUUCAAUGUAGUUGAAACGGAGAACCUCUAACCCCAUAGAAAAUCAACUAGCUGAAGCAGUUUGGUUGCCUGAUGGGCCGUAAAAAUUAAAUCAAGGAAUGAAUUGGUAGUGAAUGACUUAAGCUACCAUUUAUGUUGCAGCAACCAAGCAAGGGAUGGAUUGCCUUUAUGCUUGAAGUGUUAUUGGUAUAGAUGUCAGUCCAAACUUCAUCCAUCUAGUUUUCUGUAUAUAGUUUAUGCAAAUGUAAAAAUUACCUCUUUAUGGUGUGUUUUCUUAUAGCAUCCAAGAAUAAAUUUUGCAGGAAAGAUGCUCAGAAGAGUGUAGUGUUGGUUGUUAGUAAUGAAUUGAUCAAAAAAACAUGGGAGAAAAGAAUCAUAGGAUACGAAAGGGUAAACCAGUCAUUUUUAACAUUCAACUGUUUAUAAUAUGCUUAGGUACAAGCUGAACUUGAAACAAAUACUACAACAAAUUCAUCAAGUUGCAGCAAUGGUCUUCUUUAGUUGACAAGGUAUCAUUUGUCUUUAUUUACAUUCCACAUCCACCAAACAGGAAUGUACAAAGGAAUGGAAUCCAAUUCCAUUCCAUUUCAACUCUUUUUUUGGUUUGGAAGGGCAAUAGACUUCUUGGUGGAGCUGUUCUGUCAAGGCUGGUCCAUGCAACAAGCUUGCAAUCUACCUAAUGACCCUUAUAUUAUUGUUGUAAACACUAGCUAGUACCUUUUAAAACCAUUAUCUUAUUUUUGUGUUUCAACAUUUAUAUUAUGUUUGUUUUUAAACCUCUGUUUAGAAGUUAUGUUGUAAUAAAGAAUAUUUUGGAUUUAUGUUUA